GUUCCAUUUUAAGGUUGUUUCAGUGCUUUUAGAGGCUAAUACGGAAGGAUAGAAUAAGUCUCCAUAAAACCCAGAGAAAAGAUUGUAAAACUCCUCUUUGGAUCCUCUUUGGAUCCCAGAG
This 121-nucleotide small nucleolar RNA is filed under the name Choloepus hoffmanni (Hoffmann's two-fingered sloth). RNAcentral describes it as "Small nucleolar RNA SNORA26 (ENSCHOG00000014325.1)". It matches the Rfam family "Small nucleolar RNA SNORA26". Rfam says of the family: The snoRNA HBI-6 belong to the H/ACA family of snoRNAs, guiding the pseudouridylation of position U4522 if the 28S rRNA. HBI-6 is the human orthologue of mouse MBI-6 snoRNA. Lineage: Eukaryota; Metazoa; Chordata; Mammalia; Pilosa; Megalonychidae. The record is from RNAcentral.